RNAcentral lists this ribosomal RNA (483 nucleotides) under uncultured bacterium. RNAcentral's name for it is "partial 16S ribosomal RNA". It matches the Rfam family "Bacterial small subunit ribosomal RNA", at positions 30 to 506 of the family's 1533-position model. The record is from RNAcentral.
AUUGAACGCUGGCGGCAGGCCUAACACAUGCAAGUCGAGCGGAUGAAGGGAGCUUGCUCCUGGAUUCAGCGGCGGACGGGUGAGUAAUGCCUAGGAAUCUGCCUGGUAGUGGGGGAUAACGUCCGGAAACGGGCGCUAAUACCGCAUACGUCCUGAGGGAGAAAGUGGGGGAUCUUCGGACCUCACGCUAUCAGAUGAGCCUAGGUCGGAUUAGCUAGUUGGUGGGGUAAAGGCCUACCAAGGCGACGAUCCGUAACUGGUCUGAGAGGAUGAUCAGUCACGCGGGAACUGAGAGACGGUCCAGACUCCUACGGGAGGCAGCAGUGGGGAAGAUUGGACAAUGGGCGAAAGCCUGAUCCAGGCAUGCCGCGUGAGUGAAGAAGGUCUUCGGAUGGUAAAGCACUUUAAGUUGGGAGGAAGGGCAGUAAGUUAAUACCUUGCUGUUUUGACGUUACCAACAGAAUAGGCACCGGCGAACUUCGU